UUCCUCUGCAUUCAGGAAAGACUGCUGAAGGUACCUACAGAAUAGCCUGAGUUUGACAGAGAACUAGCAAUCUGGACUCUGGCACUCAUUUCUUCAGUGCUACAUCCUGUCCUUGGAAGAUGCCUCUGAUGAAGUACUGUAAUAAAACCUUGGAGAACCAUCAGGAGUCAGUGCUAACACAACUCCCACACUGAGUAAAGGUAUCUGGGUAACACCAAGAAUUCCAAGGAGAUGUUUCAGGCUUAGAGACUGUUGCGUGGGUUUUGCUCCGAGUAAGGACUAUGGAGUAGGAAUAAAUAAUUCGUACACUCUUUCAAGUAGCCUGGAAGAAUCUCAUAAUUAAUCAAUAUUUUACACCCAUCCUGAUCAGGAGCCACUGUCUGAUCUCACAAAUUUGUAACAGGCAGGCCUGAGGCUGAACCCACUCACAGACGGACAAAUCAGGAGCACUGCCAGCAAGAGGCACAGAAUUUCAUUAAUGAAGGAGUGAGUGACAGACUGUGUCCUGGAUGCAUCCUGUGAGCAGAGCAUGUGACCCAUAUUUGAGUCUUAUUCUGUAAUGGUAAAAGGCUUUUUGAAAUCCAUUUAAGUCUAUUAGCGCUCCCAGAAAAUUGUGCACUCACUCAUUUUCUCAAAAUAAAUAUCCUGGACUUAAUGGAGCAUAGUGUCCUUUUACUACCAGUACCCAAGAACUCCAAUUAUGCAUUAUUAAGCUAUUAAACUGAACUGAAUGAAAAGAACUGGCACUUACUGGCAAGAUCACUCUUCUAAAAUGCUCUGCAAUAAGCUAUGGAAAAAUUAGCAAGCAGUUAUAAAACUAGCAUCUCCUACCAGCUGCUAUCAUUUGGCUUUCUCUAACAGUAAGAACAUAUUUAUGAGCAUAUCUUAUGCAUGCACACAAAUACACAGAGGGACAUGCACAGAGGUCUACCUGUGCUGUCAUACACUGAGCCAACAGGAGAUUUCAGCCAGCCAGCUCACACUCCUAAGCAUGCUGUAGGCAGGUUCCUGCAGUGCUUCCCCCAUGAAGACAGCAUGUCCUCUAGAAGUCUAUGAAAUUCACACUAAAAUCAGAUCGCAUAUAGGGUUCUACUGACUUUAGGAUGUAACUUUUUAGGAUAAAAAACCUCCCUGAGUCCCCAAAGAGCUGACAGAGUAUUUCGAUAACAAACGAAUCAACACUGGCGCUUCUAUCUGUUGCAUGUAGAGAAU
Molecule: long non-coding RNA, 1212 nt
Organism: Numida meleagris (helmeted guineafowl)
Lineage: Eukaryota; Metazoa; Chordata; Aves; Galliformes; Numididae
Exons: 7
Source: RefSeq, a predicted model, not a curated record